ACUGACAAUCAGGCCCCCAAUGGUCUACACAACAAACGCUUUUAUAAGCUUUCCUUCGACACAAAUGCACACAACCAUAGAUAUUUGAACCCAAAAUGCAUCGUCUUAGUCCCAUGCCGCUAGUAAUUUUUACAGUUCCCAAAGGACAACGUCCGAUGAUGGCAUUAAGCGGACACAUAAGGCAAUGCGAUGUCGGGAAUAUGUGAAACACCGCUUUCGACGUGAUACAUUUGCUCGCUGUUUGGCCGUUUGAUCCGUUCGCGACGGUCUCUGAAGUCCAAAAGCAAAGCAGGCAUAGAGAAACCAAAUACAAUAGCUCCAUGAUUUGAGAAAUAUCUCGAAUCUGACGCAUCACAAAACCGUUCUCUUUGUAAUGGUUCCUUGUUGUGAUGAGUGUUGUCGAGUAUUUUCAACUUUCAUUUUAAUUUCA
Molecule: non-coding RNA, 430 nt
Organism: Paramuricea clavata
Lineage: Eukaryota; Metazoa; Cnidaria; Anthozoa; Malacalcyonacea; Plexauridae
Source: the annotation of a GenBank genome assembly